Molecule: ribosomal RNA, 497 nt
Filed under: uncultured bacterium
Lineage: Bacteria
Description: partial 16S ribosomal RNA
Rfam family: Bacterial small subunit ribosomal RNA
Source: RNAcentral
GAUGAACGCUGGCGGCGUGCCUAAUACAUGCAAGUCGAGCGAACGGACGAGAAGCUUGCUUCUCUGAUGUUAGCGGCGGACGGGUGAGUAACACGUGGAUAACCUACCUAUAAGACUGGGAUAACUUCGGGAAACCGGAGCUAAUACCGGAUGAUAUUUUGAACCGCAUGGUUCAAAAGUGAAAGACGGUCUUGCUGUCACUUAUAGAUGGAUCCGCGCUGCAUUAGCUAGUUGGUAAGGUAACGGCUUACCAAGGCAACGAUGCAUAGCCGACCUGAGAGGGUGAUCGGCCACACUGGAACUGAGACACGGUCCAGACUCCUACGGGAGGCAGCAGUAGGGAAUCUUCCGCAAUGGGCGAAAGCCUGACGGAGCAACGCCGCGUGAGCGAUGAAGGUCUUCGGAUCGUAAAACUCUGUUAUUAGGGAAGAACAUAUGUGUAAGUAACUGUGCACAUCUUGACGGUACCUAAUCAGAAAGCCACGGCUAACUACGUG